CCCGCACAAGCGGUGGAGUAUGUGGUUUAAUUCGAAGCAACGCGAAGAACCUUACCAGGGCUUGACAUCCCGGUGACCGCUCUAGAGAUAGAGUUUCCCUUCGGGGCACCGGUGACAGGUGGUGCAUGGUUGUCGUCAGCUCGUGUCGUGAGAUGUUGGGUUAAGUCCCGCAACGAGCGCAACCCUUAUUGUUAGUUGCUACGCAAGAGCACUCUAGCGAGACUGCCGUUGACAAAACGGAGGAAGGUGGGGACGACGUCAAAUCAUCAUGCCCCUUAUGUCCUGGGCCACACACGUACUACAAUGGUGGUUAACAGAGGGAGGCAAAGCCGCGAGGGAAAGGUGAAAAGAACCCCGGAAGGGGAGUGAAAUAGAACAUGAAACCGUUAGCUUACAAGCAGUGGGAGGACGAUUUAACGUCUGACCGCGUGCCUGUUGAAGCAUGAGCCGGCGAGUUAUAGGCAGUGGCAUGUUAAGACCCUAUGGGUUGCAGCCAAAGCGAAAGCGAGUUUGACAAGAGCGCCAGUGUGAAAGCACAGGUCC
This 543-nucleotide ribosomal RNA is filed under the name uncultured bacterium. Its description in RNAcentral is "bacterial SSU rRNA". The stretch from base 3 to 419 matches the Rfam family "Bacterial small subunit ribosomal RNA", at positions 922 to 1376 of the family's 1533-position model. The record is from RNAcentral.